UACGAAGGGGGCUAGCGUUGCUCGGAGUCACUGGGCGUAAAGCGCACGUAGGCGGCUUUCUAAGUCAGGGGUGAAAUCCUGGAGCUCAACUCCAGAACUGCCUUUGAUACUGGAAAGCUUGAGUUCGGGAGAGGUGAGUGGAACUGCGAGUGUAGAGGUGAAAUUCGUAGAUAUUCGCAAGAACACCAGUGGCGAAGGCGGCUCACUGGCCCGAUACUGACGCUGAGGCGCGAAAGCCAGGGGAGCGAACGGG
Molecule: ribosomal RNA, 253 nt
Filed under: uncultured bacterium
Lineage: Bacteria
Description: partial 16S ribosomal RNA
Rfam family: Bacterial small subunit ribosomal RNA
Source: RNAcentral